Molecule: unclassified non-coding RNA, 259 nt
Filed under: Hevea brasiliensis (rubber tree)
Lineage: Eukaryota; Viridiplantae; Streptophyta; Magnoliopsida; Malpighiales; Euphorbiaceae
Source: RNAcentral
GGACUGGUCUAUACCCUCCAUACCCGAUAUUGAUGGAGCGACGACAAGGACUGCAAAGAUUUAGUGGACUCCAACUUGGGAUGCUCAUCUCUUCCCCGCAAUCCAUUUCUGCUAGAACUUUAUAGAACAAAUCAACAUCGCAGGGAAGCAAUAUUGGACCUUCGCUAUUGAACCCAUAUUCCAGUUCAGCAUCUUCUAGCAACAACUUGAACAAUGGAUGGUUAGCGAACUCUGUCUUUAUCACGAACCUUUGUUUCUC